This 242-nucleotide ribosomal RNA is filed under the name uncultured Acinetobacter sp. Its description in RNAcentral is "partial 16S ribosomal RNA". It matches the Rfam family "Bacterial small subunit ribosomal RNA", at positions 94 to 339 of the family's 1533-position model. Lineage: Bacteria; Pseudomonadati; Pseudomonadota; Gammaproteobacteria; Moraxellales; Moraxellaceae. The record is from RNAcentral.
AGCGGCGGACGGGUGAGUAAUGCUUAGGAAUCUGCCUAUUAGUGGGGGACAACAUCUCGAAAGGGAUGCUAAUACCGCAUACGUCCUACGGGAGAAAGCAGGGGACCUUCGGGCCUUGCGCUAAUAGAUGAGCCUAAGUCGGAUUAGCUAGUUGGUGGGGUAAAGGCCUACCAAGGCGACGAUCUGUAGCGGGUCUGAGAGGAUGAUCCGCCACACUGGGACUGAGACACGGCCCAGACUCC